UGGCUGAAAGAUGGCGUAAGCUAUCGCUUUUGGAUGGACCCGCGGCGUAUUAGCUAGUUGGUGAGGUAACGGCUCACCAAGGCAAUGAUACGUAGCCGAACUGAGAGGUUGAUCGGCCACAUUGGGACUGAGACACGGCCCAAACUCCUACGGGAGGCAGCAGUAGGGAAUCUUCCACAAUGGACGCAAGUCUGAUGGAGCAACGCCGCGUGAGUGAAGAAGGCUUUCGGGUCGUAAAACUCUGUUGUUGGAGAAGAAUGGUCGGCAGAGUAACUGUUGUCGGCGUGACGGUAUCCAACCAGAAAGCCACGGCUAACUACGUGCCAGCAGCCGCGGUAAUACGUAGGUGGCAAGCGUUAUCCGGAUUUAUUGGGCGUAAAGCGAGCGCAGGCGGUUUUUUAAGUCUGAUGUGAAAGCCCUCGGCUUAACCGAGGAAGUGCAUCGGAAACUGGGAAACUUGAGUGCAGAAGAGGACAGUGGAACUCCAUGUGUAGCGGUGAAAUGCGUAGAUAUAUGGAAGAACACCAGUGGCGAAGGCGGCUGUCUGGUCUGUAACUGACGCUGAGGC
This 568-nucleotide ribosomal RNA is filed under the name uncultured Bacilli bacterium. Its description in RNAcentral is "bacterial SSU rRNA". It matches the Rfam family "Bacterial small subunit ribosomal RNA", at positions 197 to 752 of the family's 1533-position model. The record is from RNAcentral. Lineage: Bacteria; Bacillati; Bacillota; Bacilli.